This is a non-coding RNA of Bos taurus (domestic cattle), 73 nucleotides long. The record is from Rfam. NCBI's taxonomy places the organism in Eukaryota, Metazoa, Chordata, Mammalia, Artiodactyla, Bovidae.
UCCCUGGUGGUCCAAUGGUUAAAACUCUGCACUUCCAACGUAGGGGACACAGGUUUGAACCCUGAUUGGGGAA